Molecule: ribosomal RNA, 253 nt
Filed under: uncultured bacterium
Lineage: Bacteria
Description: partial 16S ribosomal RNA
Rfam family: Bacterial small subunit ribosomal RNA
Source: RNAcentral
UACAGAGGGUGCGAGCGUUAAUCGGAAUUACUGGGCGUAAAGCGCGCGUAGGCGGCUUUGCAAGUCGGGUGUGAAAUCCCCAGGCUUAACCUGGGAACUGCAUUCGAGACUGUAUUGCUAGAGUAUGGGAGAGGGAAGUGGAAUUUCCGGUGUAGCGGUGAAAUGCGUAGAUAUCGGAAGGAACAUCAGUGGCGAAAGCGACUUCCUGGACCAAUACUGACGCUCAUGUGCGAAAGCGUGGGGAGCAAACAGG